This 253-nucleotide ribosomal RNA is filed under the name uncultured microorganism. RNAcentral's name for it is "partial small subunit ribosomal RNA". It matches the Rfam family "Bacterial small subunit ribosomal RNA", at positions 524 to 776 of the family's 1533-position model. The record is from RNAcentral.
UACGUAGGUGGCGAGCGUUGUCCGGAAUUACUGGGCGUAAAGGAUGAGUAGGCGGCCUAUUAAGUCGGGCGUGAAAUAUCAGGGCUCAACCCUGAUCUUGCAUUCGAUACUGGUAGGCUUGAGGGCAGGAGAGGAAAGCGGAAUUCCCGGUGUAGCGGUAAAAUGCGUAGAUAUCGGGAGGAACACCAGUGGCGAAGGCGGCUUUCUGGACUGUACCUGACGCUGAGUCAUGAAAGCCAGGGGAGCAAACGGG